AAGGAAGGUGUUUCCUGACCUACCUCCGGGGGCAAGGUCCAUGGUCUCCUUGACUAAGCCCUUCCUCUUUCUGAGCCAGCUUCCUUUCCGCGGGAAGGAAAGGCUGGCCAGGCCACCCGGAGGAGCCUGCGGACGGGACAUCUGGGUCGUGGGUGCUGGAGUCUCGGGCUCUCUUCCUGCCCGGUACACAGUUAACUGUCCCGCGGGAAAUUAAUGCCGGCCAGGAGCCGGGCGGCAGAGGGAAUAAGGCGGGUGUAGGCUCGGCGCCAACGUGGAGGACGCGACUAAGCGAAUUCAGAGACAGAGGGAAGUUCAGCCGCCAGCCCCCAGGGAGCACAAAAAAGUAAAUUCGUCGCUGCUAGUUUUAGCCAAGAUACCCGCAGAGCAUGCCAGACUUGAGGAAAAAUCUUCCUUGAAGUGGAACAAGCAGUAUUGAUCAGGACAUACCAAGCACUAACAAAAAAGAUCUGCAGUGAAGUUUAAAUUGCUAGGAGAGAUUUAGAAGGAAAGUACUAAUCAAUGAAACAAAAGCACCAGAACAAAAAUGAAUGAAUAUAGUUUAACAAUAUAUCAGUAGGUACUUAAAAUAGACAUACACAAAUUAUUUUAAAGUGUAUUAAGGUAAACAUUAUUUUAUAGUAAUUUGAGCCUUGUUAACUUGACAUGUUUGCAUUAGAAAGAAUUGGGAAUCAUGCGCCAGAAUGAUUUUUUUUUCUUUUUCACAAAAUUUUCAUCAAUUUAGAAAGAAGUAAACUCUUAAAAAUAGUAAACAUUGCCAACUGGUGUUGAAAUUAGAUCUCGUACUUUCUGAAUGUUCCAGGGGUACAUGCAAUAAAUUUCAUUUAUCUGCAGGUAAUAGCUAACACUGGUUAAUGUUUGUUCAGCAUUCAAAAUGCAGUUUUUGCUCUCUGGUUAGCACAAGAGAUUAUUCUUUCAAGGAAAUCUGAGACGUUUAGGGCUAUCCAUAUUCUUCAAUAGAGCCAUCUCUUCACUAGCAUUUCUAUUUUUUCACCUUAGGCAUUCUUUUAGCAAUGUGCUUAUAAAGGUUUUCUUUCGCUUAGCUGAUUUUAGUUAAAAUGGAAACAAAAAUUAGUUUCUUAGCUGAACCUAAUCAUGUGACUUUAGUCCAGCCAUAUUCUUCCCAGAGUCUUCUUGCCCCUCUGACCCAUUGCAACUUUGAUAUCUUAACCCUUGAGCAAAACCUAUGUAAACCAUUAAUGGAUGCCCAAGGGCUAAAGCUAUCUCUGCAGGGACCAGUAAAACUAUUAUGUAUUAUUUUUACUGUAGUCUUCUUACUGUGUGGGUGUUUAAAUCUGUCUCAGUAUCUCUUCCUCAACUGCUGUCCGGUGGAAGGUACUGUCUUACUAGCAUUGUAUUGUGCUUUGUUUUAAGAAAGCACACACAAUUUCAAAUACAUUUUACUAAAAUUUACUGAUCAAUUAUGAAGUUAUUCCUGUUUGGGGUUAAACUAUCUUCACAUAAUCCCAAUGAAGAUAUAGUGUAGGUAGUUGUAUAUUUAAUAUCCUCUACAAAGAACACAUAAGGAACAAUACAUGAGAAAAUGAGAAACACCUUAAAAGUAAAUAUUAAUCAUUGUAAAUUAAAAUAAUAAGGGAAGGCGAUUUCAGAUAUACUUGAUUCAAUACAUAGCUACAGGAAGUUACCACUGUAUUAUUAAACUUCGGAGGAAAAAGAGACAUGAUUAUUUUAAAUUCCAUUCCAGAGGAUUUAUAUAGAGACGUAAAUGAACCAAAAGGAUAGUGUGCAAAAUGCAAUGUCAAAAUGGUAUUGUGGCACAACUUGAGUUGCCUCCUGCGAUAAAAAUGAUUCUUUGUAUCAUUUUUUCUCACAUACAAUUAAAAAGGUGAAUUAUAGUCAAUAGUCAUUCCCACCUGUUAUGAAAAAUGUCUGGUAAUUGGCCAUUUGGGUUUUGGUCCUUUUUUUCCCUAUGAAAUUGAGAAUUUUUAUAAGCUUAACAAUGUUGUCCAAUAGAACUUUCUGCAUGCAGUGAUGGAAAUAGUCUACCUGUCAUGGCCAUUGAGCAUUUGAGAUGUAAUUAACUUAGCUAAGAAACUGAAUUUUUUCUUUGACUAAUUUUAAGUAAUUUUAAUGAAAACUUAGUUAUCUGGAUGUGACUAGUGGUUACCAGUUUGCACAGAUAGCUGACUAGCUAUUUUCCUUUUUCUGCUGGCUGGCUGAUACUGUUGUGCAAGACACAACUGCUGACCUUGAACUUUGGAAAAAAAAGAGUUCUGAAGGUAUUUGUUAAGAACCGUAAUCUUGGGAGUUCCUGUUGUGGCCCAGUGGAAACUAGUCUGACUAGUUUCCAUGAGGAUGUAGGUUCAAUCCCUGGCCUUGCUCAGUGGGUCAAGGAUCCCAUGUUGCCAUGAGCUGCGGUGUAUCGCAGAUGAGGCUCAGAUCUGUUGUUACUGUGGCUGUGGUAUAGGCCGGCUAUAGCUCUGACUUGACCCCUAGCCUGGUAACUUCCUUAUGCCACAGGUACAGCC
This 2507-nucleotide long non-coding RNA is filed under the name Sus scrofa (pig). RNAcentral's name for it is "lncRNA (ENSSSCG00040031461.1)". Lineage: Eukaryota; Metazoa; Chordata; Mammalia; Artiodactyla; Suidae. The record is from RNAcentral.